Molecule: long non-coding RNA, 679 nt
Organism: Lolium rigidum
Lineage: Eukaryota; Viridiplantae; Streptophyta; Magnoliopsida; Poales; Poaceae
Exons: 3
Source: RefSeq, a predicted model, not a curated record
GCCAGGGUCGCUUCGUACAGAUCCACACUUGCCAGCACGAAGAGGAUGAGCUGAAGGCUGAAGCCCAUCCCUGGCUGGAUGUGAGAUGGGGCGACCCCCUCCAAGGCUCCAACGAUCAUGUAAGGUACCCUGAUACUGUUGCGUGCGUGUUGCAUAUGUCUUCAGUCUGUAGUCCUAAAAUCUUGUUAUGUAGAUGUAGUGUGCAUCUGAUCCUUGAUGCGGUGGCAACAAGGAUUAUACAUGUUUGUGUAGAUUUUCUUUGGAGAACAUGCCUGUGUGUAUUCCCCCCUUUUUUAGCUACCGUGUGUGUCAAACAAAAGAAUUCAUAUCUUGGAUGCUCCAUGGCCAAGCAGGAGGAUAAAUAGAUCAACCAGUCUCAUGCUUAUUCACAAAGAAACAAUAUCAUGAAGGCCUCGGCAAUGUGUUUAUAUUUUUGGAGGAACACAUGGAUGCUUAAUGUACUUGCAGAAGAUGUUGGUUCUUGACUUCUGCUUAUUUCUUGUGAUGUCUUUGUUCAAACUCACAAGUGUAUCUCGCAAAGUCAUUCAUAUGGUGAUCGUAGCAGUUAUUUGGAUCUGAAGGUGGAAUAGAGCGUAAUAACUGUUUGGGAUAGCAGUUUUUUUCUUGAAAGGAUCGAUCAAUGUGUUGUAUAUACAAAUGAUGACAGUCAUAUGCCAUG